GAUUAACGCUGGCGGCAUGCCUAAUACAUGCAAGUCGAAUGGAAGAGCUUGCUUUUCCAUGGCGAACGGGUGAGUAACACGUAGGUAACCUACCUUAAGGACGAGGAUAACCUUUGGAAACGAAGGAUAAUACUGGAUAGGACAUCAACAAAACACAUGUUUAGAUGUUUAAAGGAGCAAUCCACCAUAAGAGGGGCCUGCGGCGCAUUAGCUAGUUGGUAAGGUAAAGGCCUACCAAGGCGAUGAUGCGUAGCCGGACUGAGAGGUUGAACGGCCACAAUGGGACUGAGAACGGCCCAUACUCC
This 305-nucleotide ribosomal RNA is filed under the name uncultured Anaeroplasma sp. RNAcentral's name for it is "bacterial SSU rRNA". It matches the Rfam family "Bacterial small subunit ribosomal RNA", at positions 28 to 339 of the family's 1533-position model. Lineage: Bacteria; Bacillati; Mycoplasmatota; Mollicutes; Anaeroplasmatales; Anaeroplasmataceae. The record is from RNAcentral.